GACGAACGCUGGCGGCGUGCUUAACACAUGCAAGUCGAACGGAAAGGCCCUGCUUGCAGGGUACUCGAGUGGCGAACGGGUGAGUAACACGUGGGUGAUCUGCCCUGCACUUCGGGAUAAGCCUGGGAAACUGGGUCUAAUACCGGAUAGGAGCCAUUUUUAGUGUGAUGGUUGGAAAGUUUUUUCGGUGUAGGAUGAGCUCGCGGCCUAUCAGCUUGUUGGUGGGGUAAUGGCCUACCAAGGCGGCGACGGGUAGCCGGCCUGAGAGGGUGGACGGCCACAUUGGGACUGAGAUACGGCCCAGACUCCUACGGGAGGCAGCAGUGGGGAAUAUUGCACAAUGGGCGCAAGCCUGAUGCAGCGACGCCGCGUGGGGGAUGACGGCCUUCGGGUUGUAAACUCCUUUCGCUAGGGACGAAGCUUUUGUGACGGUACCUAGAUAAGAAGCACCGGCUAACUACGG
RNAcentral lists this ribosomal RNA (463 nucleotides) under uncultured bacterium. Its description in RNAcentral is "partial 16S ribosomal RNA". It matches the Rfam family "Bacterial small subunit ribosomal RNA", at positions 28 to 506 of the family's 1533-position model. The record is from RNAcentral.